Molecule: ribosomal RNA, 468 nt
Filed under: uncultured bacterium
Lineage: Bacteria
Description: partial 16S ribosomal RNA
Rfam family: Bacterial small subunit ribosomal RNA
Source: RNAcentral
ACGAACGCUGGCGGCGUGCUUAACACAUGCAAGUCGAACGGAAAGGCCCUGCUUUUGUGGGGUGCUCGAGUGGCGAACGGGUGAGUAACACGUGAGUAACCUGCCCUUGACUUUGGGAUAACUUCAGGAAACUGGGGCUAAUACCGGAUAGGAGCUCCUGCUGCAUGGUGGGGGUUGGAAAGUUUCGGCGGUUGGGGAUGGACUCGCGGCUUAUCAGCUUGUUGGUGGGGUAGUGGCUUACCAAGGCUUUGACGGGUAGCCGGCCUGAGAGGGUGACCGGCCACAUUGGGACUGAGAUACGGCCCAGACUCCUACGGGAGGCAGCGGUGGGGAAUAUUGCACAAGGGGCGGAAGCCUGAUGCAGCAACGCCGCGUGCGGGAUGACGGCCUUCGGGUUGUAAACCGCUUUCGCCUGUGACGAAGCGUGAGUGACGGUAAUGGGUAAAGAAGCACCGGCUAACUACGUGC